RNAcentral lists this ribosomal RNA (888 nucleotides) under Amanita citrinoindusiata. RNAcentral's name for it is "eukaryotic LSU rRNA". It matches the Rfam family "Eukaryotic large subunit ribosomal RNA", at positions 65 to 937 of the family's 3401-position model. The record is from RNAcentral. Lineage: Eukaryota; Fungi; Basidiomycota; Agaricomycetes; Agaricales; Amanitaceae.
CUAACAAGGAUUCCCUUAGUAACUGCGAGUGAAGAGGGAAAAGCUCAAAUUUAAAAUCUGGCAGUGCUUCACUGUCCGAGUUGUAACCUAGAGAAGUGUAACCUGCGCUGGACCGUGUACAAGUCUCCUGGAAUGGAGCAUCACAGAGGGUGAGAAUCCCGUCUUUGACAUGGACUACCAGUGCAUUGUGGUUGUGCUCUCAACGAGUCGAGUUGUUUGGGAAUGCAGCUCUAAAUGGGUGGUAAAUUCCAUCUAAAGCUAAAUAUUGGCGAGAGACCGAUAGCGAACAAGUACCGUGAGGGAAAGAUGAAAAGAACUUUGGAAAGAGAGUUAAACAGUAUGUGAAAUUGUUGAAAGGGAAACGUUUGAAGUCAGUCGCGUUAACUGGGGAUCAGCCUGACAUUGUUGGGUGUACUUCCUGGUCGACGGGCCAACAUCAGUUUUGAUUGCCAGAAAAAGGCCAAAGGAAUGUGGCACCUUUGGGUGUGUUAUAGCCCUUGGUCGUAUAUGGUGGUUGGGACUGAGGAAAGCAGCGUGCCGAAAGGCCGGGUCGUUUCGACCACGUUCACGCUGAGGAUGUUGGCAUAAUGGCUUUAAGCGACCCGUCUUGAAACACGGACCAAGGAGUCUAACAUGCGUGCGAGUGUUUGGGUGGAAAACCCUUACGCGUAAUGAAAGUGAAAGUUGAGAUCCCUGUCGCGGGGAGCAUCGACGCCCGGACCAGAACUUUUGGGACGGAUCUGCGGUAGAGCAUGUAUGUUGGGACCCGAAAGAUGGUGAACUAUGCCUGAAUAGGGUGAAGCCAGAGGAAACUCUGGUGGAGGCUCGUAGCGAUUCUGACGUGCAAAUCGAUCGUCAAAUUUGGGUAUAGGGGCGAAAGACUAAUCG